AUUGAACGCUGGCGGCAUGCCUUACACAUGCAAGUCGAACGGCAGCGCGGGGCAACCUGGCGGCGAGUGGCGAACGGGUGAGUAAUAUAUCGGAACAUACCCUAGAGUGGGGGAUAACGUAGCGAAAGUUACGCUAAUACCGCAUACGCACUAAGGUGGAAAGUGGGGGAUUCGCAAGAACCUCAUGCUCAUGGAGUGGCCGAUAUCUGAUUAGCUAGUUGGUGAGGUAAAGGCUCACCAAGGCGACGAUCAGUAGCUGGUUUGAGAGAACGACCAGCCACACUGGAACUGAGACACGGUCCAGACUCCCACGGAGGCAGCAGUGGGGAAUUUUGGACAAUGGGGGCAACCCUGAUCCAGCAAUGCCGCGUGAGUGAAGAAGG
This 383-nucleotide ribosomal RNA is filed under the name uncultured bacterium. RNAcentral describes it as "bacterial SSU rRNA". It matches the Rfam family "Bacterial small subunit ribosomal RNA", at positions 30 to 414 of the family's 1533-position model. The record is from RNAcentral.